Molecule: long non-coding RNA, 1287 nt
Filed under: Numida meleagris (helmeted guineafowl)
Lineage: Eukaryota; Metazoa; Chordata; Aves; Galliformes; Numididae
Description: lncRNA (ENSNMEG00000009182.1)
Source: RNAcentral
GCGUGCCUGGAUUGGGGUUGAGCUCCUCCUUGCGAGGUGCAGAAUGCUCUAAAGAGAGUUAAAAUGAACGAAACGUGGUGAAUUACGGAAGGGCUUGGGUUGGAAAGGAGUUUAAAGCAUCCCCAGCUCCAACCCCCUGCUGUGGGCAGGGCUGCCACCCACCGGCUCAGGCUGCCCAGGGCCCCAUCCAACCUGGUCUUGUUGUGAGAAAAGGCUAGCAAUACUUCUCAAAGUGAUAGCCGUUCCAUAGAAUCACAGAAUCUUUAAGGUUGGAAAAGACCACUAAGAUCAUAACCCCAACCCACCCCCACCAUGCCCACCAACCGCGUGGUGGUUAAACACCUCCAGGGACAGUGACCCCACCACCUCCCUGGGCAGCCUGUUCCACUGCCUCACUGCUCUUUCAGAGAUGAAAUUCUUCCUAAUAUCCAACUGUACUUCCAGUGUAAGAAAACACACCAGAUACAGAAGCAUUCCUGAAAUUCCUGGGAUUGGUUCCACACAAGGACUCCCAGUCCUGCAAGAGGACUGCACAGGAACAUAUUUUACCUUUAGCCUGAUCCAUCGGCUGCUGAAGUCAGUGGAAGAGCUCCUAGUGAUUUGAGCACAUAAUCAUGAGAAAAAGGAUUUGUUUGGGACUCAGAAGCUUCUAAGUCGUUGGUGCCUUGUCAAAUUAAAUGUAAGCACCAUACUGCCUGUCUUCAAUAUUGAUAGCUUUUUAGAGCUAUAUCUUCAAAAUUUGCAAGCUUAUUUUCUUUUGAAAAGUGGUUAACAAAAUUGCUUCAUUACCAGACAGGCAUUGUGAUAGAAGGAAUAGCAGCCUCUAACUCAGUUUAGGUGCUUUCUAUAAUAAGAAAAAUGAUUAUAAUUUUAGUAGCUCCAGUUCCUUCCUGAUCAACUGCAUAUUUUGGAAGCUUGGCAGAAUAUAGUCUUUGGGUUAGAUAGGUGCUGUUAUUGCCAUUAUGAAAAUAAUCUACAUUAUUGGUGGAAUUCUAAACUGUCAGGAAUCAUAAUUUCCUCUGUACUGUGUGUUGAUUGGGGUUUAUCAAAACCUUUGAUACUUGAUAGCACUGCAUGUAUAUCAAGAAGGCAUUCUGGAUCUUCAUUUCAUACAGAAGCCAGUGUUUGAAUAGAUCGUGGGCAAAAUGAAUCUUCCUCUUCUCUUUAAAAAGUCUAUGGGGAAUAGAAAUGGGUCAAGUAACAUAUUCAUUCUGUACCUUACUUCUCAUCUGUGAUCAGUACCCUUUACUCUCACUAUUAAUAAACAAUGACUCUUCAUAUAGAUCA